CCUUUUCCCUUUCCUUUUUCUCUUUCAGUGCAAGAUCAAAUGACUAUCUUCCUUCGCCGAGAAGAUGAGAAAACCGAAAGAAAAAAGUAGGAGAAAAUCAGGAUCCAUCGUUCGUCUCCCACUUCCCAGUGUCUCCUCCUUCUACAGUACCAAUACUUCGCUGCUGCUACGGCUACUCUAAAAGAUUCUUCUACAGUUUUUUUUUUUUUUUAUAAAUUUUUUUGGGUGCUACCGCUCAUCAACAGAGCCCAGCCCAUGCUAUUUCUAUGUUCCACCAUCCAAUCCCACCACCGACCUCUUGGCCCAUCAUCCCCACCCCCUCUAUUCUAGCGUUUCCUUUUUAUGUGUUUUCCUUUUCUUUCCACUUUUAUUUAUUUUUUUUGUAAUUUCUUUUAUCAUUGAUUUUUUAGGGCUUAUUCCCUCCAUUACUGUGCUGUCUGAUCAUUCCCUUCUCAUUUAAGAUUAGCUCCGUGUUCUGUUUCUUGGAUUCUUUAAAAAGUUCUAUAUGGAUUCUUAGGAUAUCUCGUCGUCAAUAUCUAGGGUUUUUCUAGGGUUUUUCCUUUGAUAUGCGGCUUCGCGUUUCCUGGGUCGACUGUAGUAUCACUUAAAUAUAUCGUCUUUUUACUCUUGGUGUCUUUUUUCUCUGUGAAUUUGAAUUGGUGCUCUCUCUCUCUGUCUGAGUUGAAAAUUUUCAUUCAUGGCGUACCAGCCGAUUACGGGUCCGACUUCGAGUUCCGGCUUUCAGUUCAUGAACUCCCCUUUUGGUGAUACGACCUUCACCAAGGUCUUUGUUGGGGGACUUGCCUGGGAGACGCAGAGCGAAACUAUGCGGCGGUAUUUCGAGCAGUUCGGUGAGAUUCUAGAGGCCGUCGUGAUCACUGAUAAGAAUACUGGUCGAUCGAAAGGCUAUGGUUUUGUGACUUUUCGUGAACCUGAGGCUGCUAGGAGAGCCUGCAUUGAUCCAACUCCAAUUAUUGAUGGCAGGCGGGCAAAUUGUAAUUUGGCUUCACUCGGGCGGCCUCGGCCUUCUAUGCCUUAUGGACGUUUGAGACCAACAACUCCAUAUUCUGGAAGUGUGCAAGUUGCCCGGGGAGCUUAUGUUGGAAAUUUUGGCUACCAGCAUCCACUUUCUUAUAGCUACCAACAUGGAUUGAUGUAUCCUCCAUAUGGGUAUCAAACAUAUGGACCUGAAUAUGUCUACCCACAGGGUGUUUACAACCCUUAUGCUGGUCAGCAUUACCUUCAGAUAUAUGGAGUACCUGGGACGGUUAACCCUGCUGUUUAUCCUUAUGGACAAUUGGGUCAAACUCUUCCUGGUGGUCAUGGUUAUACGGCAGUGCCCAGUUAUCCUGUACCGGGUGCUCAGGUAGUACAUUUUGGUGGACCAAGUGCUAGUGCGAUGGCAACUUCACCUAUGCCUACAAUUCAGUCACCAUAUCCCACAGGUAUGGCAGCUCCUGUUGCACCGCAACCCCAAUUUAUAGUUCCUGCUCCUUCUCCUCAGUACAUGCAAGGUAGCGGUUCAGACCAAACGGCUGGGUGAGGAUUGAUCAAGGUAUCCUUAGAUUGCAGCAGGACUAAGAGCAGCGGAACUGCUACUUGAGUGGCGGGCUUCGGAUCUAGCCUUGCAAAUUAUAUAUUUUGCAUUCUAGAGGUGGUCUUAUAUCAAUUUCAUGCUGUGCAGGUUAUACGUAGUCAUGCUCACCAGAGAAGUCAAAUGUCUUGAGUCGCUCCAGAUGGUGGAGAAUGGGGGGAUGUGGAAGAUGCGGACUGCUCUUCCUUUGGGAUCUUUACCCUAGUGUACUUAAAACCUCGUAUAGCGCCUCUGCUUAGGAUGAGUAGCAGGCUAUCAUGGAUUGAUGGGUUCUGGAAUCGGUUUCUAGCAGCCAUGUAGGAAUAAGCCUGUGUAAAAAUCAUCACUUAGAAUCAACAUAUGAUUCUUUUGUAGUCUAGUCCCUGCAUUUUGGGUGUAUAGAUAGUCUCUGGUGUUUCUGUUUGUUGUUGGGUCCAUUGUAUUAAAUGUGAUUCUGAGUUUUGUGCAUAUUAGUUCUAGGUUUUUUUUUUUUUUUUUUUUCCUGAAAAUUCAACACCUGCAUCUUGGAUGAUAUUGAGAGCCUGGCUUCAAAACACGAGCUGCAGGUAUCUAUCUUAUUGAGAAGAAACAUUUGUGUUUCCUAAUACCCAUUUCUUGCUCUAAUCUGAAAUCCAGCUCUGAAGCAAGAUCUUCUAUAUAUGCUAAAGUAAUGGUCAUGCAAUGGUACCUUUUAAUGAUCAUUUUUUUCCCCAUUGAGUGAAGUUACUUGAGCCUGGUUAAUUGACUGCCAAUCAAGAUGCCAACUAGUGUCAUAUUAAAGCAUAUAGAUAGGACUUAUUUUUUUCUUUUCUGAAUAACAUAUAGAUGGGACUAGAUUGAUAGUCUUUAAAGUUUAAACUUCUCUUGUACUGGUGGCCUUACAUUGCUGUAGAAGUCCCUUUUAACGAGGGAUGUGAAGUUGUGUCCCAUAUUUGUUCCCUUUGUUUGCUAUAUUUGGGGAUUUUUGUUCAGGCGCAUCAUUGCCUUGUUGGACAAGGUCCUUCACUAUUUCUCUGUUCUCUUGAAGAGGCAUUAGAGAUCAUGCAUAUCUUCCCUUGAAUUUGCACCAGUGUCUUGGUGAUUUUAUGUAAUAUCCCGGAUUGAGUGUAAAAAUUUAUUGAAUGAGAUCUCAUAUUCUCUGGGCAGAAAUUUUUGGCCCUUUCUAAUGUA
RNA transcript from Carya illinoinensis, 2743 nucleotides. It is a transcript of the gene named RNA-binding protein 24-A-like, with no coding region annotated. Lineage: Eukaryota; Viridiplantae; Streptophyta; Magnoliopsida; Fagales; Juglandaceae. The record is from RefSeq and is a predicted model, not a curated record. The transcript has 8 exons.